CCGUAGCAACAUCCCCAAUCCGAAUUUUGACAUCUAGACAAGCUCCAUAUAAUUCGCCUCGUGUGUUAUUAGCUGCUCGUAUUGCCCAUCCAUGUUCCAUAUCAAUUGGCCAUUUUUGCUUCUUAUAAAGAUCUUUAGACAUGAGAUUUAUUUCAGAACCAUGGUCCACCAAAGCAACUAUUGGUUCUUCUAUAUCUCCUACCUUCACCAAUACCUCAGUAGUUGCCUUUGCCCAAUGCUUUCGAGUAUAAUGGCUCAAAGUUUCUAUUUUCUUGUCACUAGAAUCUUCGAAACGUACUCGCUGAUUAUACCCAUUCUUUUCAUUUGUUGGUUGCUUGUAACCAAUAUCAACCUCUUCUUCAUCUCUACAUAUUCUUGCAUCAAUAGCAUG
This 391-nucleotide long non-coding RNA is filed under the name Physcomitrium patens. RNAcentral's name for it is "long non-coding RNA (PPAT_LNC011292)". Lineage: Eukaryota; Viridiplantae; Streptophyta; Bryopsida; Funariales; Funariaceae. The record is from RNAcentral.